ACUUGCUUUCUUUGCUGGCGACCGGCGCACGGGUGAGUAACACGUAUCCAACCUACCCUUUACUCGGGGAUAGCCUUUCGAAAGAAAGAUUAAUACCCGAUAGCAUAAUGAUUCCGCAUGGUUUCAUUAUUAAAGGAUCCGGUAAAGGAUGGGGAUGCGUUCCAUUAGGUUGUUGGUGAGGUAACGGCCCACCAAGCCUUCGAUGGAUAGGGGUUCUGAGAGGAAGGUCCCCCACAUUGGAACUGAGACACGGUCCAAACUCCUACGGGAGGCAGCAUG
RNAcentral lists this ribosomal RNA (279 nucleotides) under uncultured bacterium. RNAcentral's name for it is "partial 16S ribosomal RNA". It matches the Rfam family "Bacterial small subunit ribosomal RNA", at positions 74 to 353 of the family's 1533-position model. The record is from RNAcentral.